Molecule: ribosomal RNA, 507 nt
Filed under: uncultured bacterium
Lineage: Bacteria
Description: partial 16S ribosomal RNA
Rfam family: Bacterial small subunit ribosomal RNA
Source: RNAcentral
ACGAACGCUGGCGGCGUGCUUAACACAUGCAAGUCGAACGGGAUAAUUUGAGAGCUUGCUCUUAGAGAAUCUAGUGGCAAACGGGUGAGUAACACGUAGACAACCUGCCGACAGGAUGGGGACAACAUUCCGAAAGGAAUGCUAAUACCGAAUGAAGCGGAGGAGAGGCAUCUCUCCUCCGUGAAAGAUGGCCUCUGAAUAUGCUAUCACCUGUCGAUGGGUCUGCGUCUGAUUAGCUAGUUGGUGAGGUAACGGCUCACCAAGGCGACGAUCAGUAGCCGGUCUGAGAGGAUGAACGGCCACAUUGGGACUGAGACACGGCCCAGACUCCUACGGGAGGCAGCAGUGGGGAAUCUUCCGCAAUGGGCGCAAGCCUGACGGAGCAACGCCGCGUGAGUGAAGAAGGGCUUCGGAUCGUAAAGCUCUGUUGACGGGGACGAACGUGCGAAGGGUGAAUAAUCCUUUGUAAUGACGGUACCUGUCGAGGAAGCCACGGCUAACUACGUG